CCAAAGGCUCUUUUCAGAGCCACCCACCGAUCUCUGAAACCAGCUG
This 46-nucleotide non-coding RNA is filed under the name Marmota monax (woodchuck). It matches the Rfam family "Histone 3' UTR stem-loop". Rfam says of the family: The mRNAs of metazoan histone genes lack a poly-A tail. 3' end processing occurs at a site between a highly conserved stem-loop (modelled by this family) and a purine rich region around 20 nts downstream (the histone downstream element, or HDE). The record is from RNAcentral. Lineage: Eukaryota; Metazoa; Chordata; Mammalia; Rodentia; Sciuridae.